This 31-nucleotide non-coding RNA is filed under the name Homo sapiens (human). Lineage: Eukaryota; Metazoa; Chordata; Mammalia; Primates; Hominidae. The record is from RNAcentral.
UUCCCCAAUGCUGCGAUACUAAGAUGAGUGU